AUUGAACGCUGGCGGCAGGCCUAACACAUGCAAGUCGAGCGGAUGAGUGGAGCUUGCUCCAUGAUUCAGCGGCGGACGGGUGAGUAAUGCCUAGGAAUCUGCCUGGUAGUGGGGGACAACGUUUCGAAAGGAACGCUAAUACCGCAUACGUCCUACGGGAGAAAGUGGGGGAUCUUCGGACCUCACGCUAUCAGAUGAGCCUAGGUCGGAUUAGCUAGUUGGUGAGGUAAAGGCUCACCAAGGCGACGAUCCGUAACUGGUCUGAGAGGAUGAUCAGUCACACUGGAACUGAGACACGGUCCAGACUCCUACGGGAGGCAGCAGUGGGGAAUAUUGGACAAUGGGCGAAAGCCUGAUCCAGCCAUGCCGCGUGUGUGAAGAAGGUCUUCGGAUUGUAAAGCACUUUAAGUUGGGAGGAGGGGCAGUAAGUUAAUACCUUGCUGUUUUGACGUUACCAACAGAAUAAGCACCGGCGAACUUCGU
This 483-nucleotide ribosomal RNA is filed under the name uncultured bacterium. Its description in RNAcentral is "partial 16S ribosomal RNA". It matches the Rfam family "Bacterial small subunit ribosomal RNA", at positions 30 to 506 of the family's 1533-position model. The record is from RNAcentral.